CUUGCUUUUGAUGGGCGUCGACCGGCGCACGGGUGAGUAACGCGUAUCCAACCUGCCCACCACUUGGGGAUAACCUUGCGAAAGUAAGACUAAUACCCAAUGACGUCUCUAGAAGACAUCUGAAGGAGAUUAAAGAUUUAUCGGUGAUGGAUGGGGAUGCGUCUGAUUAGCUUGUUGGCGGGGUAACGGCCCACCAAGGCGACGAUCAGUAGGGGUUCUGAGAGGAAGGUCCCCCACAUUGGAACUGAGACACGGUCCAAACUCCUACGGGAGGCAGCAGUGAGGAAUAUUGGUCAAUGGGCGAGAGCCUGAACCAGCCAAGUAGCGUGCAGGAUGACGGCCCUAUGGGUUGUAAACUGCUUUCAUAAGGGAAUAAAGUGAGUCUCGUGAGACUUUUUGCAUGUACCUUAUGAAUAAGGACCGGCUAAUUCCGUGCCAGCAGCCGCGGUAAUACGGAAGGUCCGGGCGUUAUCCGGAUUUAUUGGGUUUAAAGGGAGCGUAGGCCGGAGAUUAAGCGUGUUGUGAAAUGUAGAUGCUCAACAUCUGAACUGCAGCGCGAACUGGUUUCCUUGAGUACGCACAAAGUGGGCGGAAUUCGUGGUGUAGCGGUGAAACGCUUAGAUACCACGAAGAACUCCGAUUGCGAAGGCAGCUCACUGGAGCGCAACUGACGCUGAAGCUCGAAAGUGCGGGUAUCGAACAGGAUUAGAUACCCUGGUAGUCCGCACGGUAAACGAUGGAUGCCCGGUGUUGG
This 754-nucleotide ribosomal RNA is filed under the name uncultured Bacteroidota bacterium. RNAcentral describes it as "bacterial SSU rRNA". It matches the Rfam family "Bacterial small subunit ribosomal RNA", at positions 74 to 826 of the family's 1533-position model. The record is from RNAcentral. Lineage: Bacteria; Pseudomonadati; Bacteroidota.